RNAcentral lists this ribosomal RNA (497 nucleotides) under uncultured bacterium. RNAcentral describes it as "partial 16S ribosomal RNA". It matches the Rfam family "Bacterial small subunit ribosomal RNA", at positions 28 to 507 of the family's 1533-position model. The record is from RNAcentral.
GACGAACGCUGGCGGCGUGCCUAAUACAUGCAAGUUGAGCGCUGAAGGUUGGUACUUGUACCAACUGGAUGAGCAGCGAACGGGUGAGUAACGCGUGGGGAAUCUGCCUUUGAGCGGGGGACAACAUUUGGAAACGAAUGCUAAUACCGCAUAAAAACUUUAAACACAAGUUUUAAGUUUGAAAGAUGCAAUUGCAUCACUCAAAGAUGAUCCCGCGUUGUAUUAGCUAGUUGGUGAGGUAAAGGCUCACCAAGGCGAUGAUACAUAGCCGACCUGAGAGGGUGAUCGGCCACAUUGGGACUGAGACACGGCCCAAACUCCUACGAGAGGCAGCAGUAGGGAAUCUUCGGCAAUGGAAGAAAGUCUGACCGAGCAACGCCGCGUGAGUGAAGAAGGUUUUCGGAUCGUAAAACUCUGUUGGUAGAGAAGAACGUUGGUGAGAGUGGAAAGCUCAGCAAGUGACGGUAACUACCCAGAAAGGGACGGCUAACUACGUG